ACAACAUUCGGACCGUCGGUCUACCGAGCAAAUAUCACACGCUCGUUGGAAGGUCUUUCCCUACGUCGA
Molecule: microRNA precursor, 69 nt
Filed under: Bombyx mori (domestic silkworm)
Lineage: Eukaryota; Metazoa; Arthropoda; Insecta; Lepidoptera; Bombycidae
Description: mir-2774 microRNA precursor family
Rfam family: mir-2774 microRNA precursor family
Source: Rfam by way of RNAcentral